GUGUGUGUGUGUGUGUGUGUGUGUGUGUGCACUUGCAUUUAUUACUUGGUGGGGCCCAAUGGCAAGGAGCACACCAACAGUGAGGGGCCCAGCGACAGUGUGGGGCCCAAAAUGGUGGGCCCCACACCGAUUUCAAUUUAUUUCAGCUCAGGAGACUCCCCUGAUAUGCCUCCCGCUUUUUCUUCACAUGGCCCACAAGGUAACAAAAACUGGAAAGUGUGUAAAAGUGUGUAACUUUUUUUGUGCUCGUGAGAGCCCCGGGUGGCACUUCGUGGUACUGCAGCAGAUACACACACUUCCUGAAGUGUGUAUCAUCUCAGCCAAUGGAACAAGAUGUGGGCGGGGCCUCCCUGCAAUAUGACACUCACUACGUCAUCUCCGUCUGUCGACUCCAGGCCUGCCAUGCUGUGCAAAACAGAGCCAUAAUGUCAAAAAGGAAGAACAGGAUACAGCCUGUUGAUGAUGCAACAUUAUAUAUUCUGUCUUCGAGGGACAAGCCUGGAUUUAUAGAAAGAUUUAUUAAUAGUAACAAAGGAAGAGGAGUGUUUGUUACCCAGCCCAUUGAACCAGGAGCUUUCCUCUUGGAAUACAGAGGUGAACUCUUAUCAGUUGAAGAAUGCUGGUCCAGACACUACUCGGAGAAACAGAGUACAUUUCUGUUUGAAUUUGAAUGGGAAAAACGUCGCUGGGGUAUUGAUGCAUCAAAAGAAGACGGCUCUCUUGGAAGAUUAGUGAAUGACAAUCACAGAUCUCCAAAUUGCAUCAUGAAAAAAAAUCUUAGUAAACAACACACCACAUAUGUGUCUAUUUGCUGUGAAAAAAAUAGAAAUCGGAUCUGAAAUUGAGUACAACUACGGUGAUUGGCGUAAAAUGGUACUUUGUUUUUGCUAAUUUGUGUAAAAAUGUGUUGCAAAAGUAAAAAUUGGUGAACUAGUGCACGACAGCUACUGUUUUAUGUCUGUCUCCAUAAUGCAUUGUGACUUGUUGAUAAGCAUUCAGCUAAACUUUAAAAAAAUGUCAUAUUUCUGAAAAAGAGCAAAUUGUGUCUGUCAGCAUGUAGUGUUUUAUUGUUUGUAUCUGAAUUCCAGCAAACAAACAAGCAGACUUCUCCUGUGGCAGCAAAGAUCGAGAUGUCCCCCAUAGAUGGUGCUUUGCAUGAGAAUUCAAACCAGAAUGAUGCUUGUGCACAGGUAACAAACAAGAUGGCUUCUGCUGUGGCAGUAGAGCCUGAGAUGUCCCCCAUACAUGGUGCUUCACAUGAGGAUUCAGACCAAGAUGAUGCUCAUGCACAGGUAACAAACAAGAUGGCUUCUGCUGUGGCAGUAGAGCCUGAGAUGUCCCCCAUACAUGGUGCUUCACAUGAGGAUUCAGACCAAGAUGAUGCUUAUGCA
Molecule: long non-coding RNA, 1391 nt
Organism: Amphiprion ocellaris (clown anemonefish)
Lineage: Eukaryota; Metazoa; Chordata; Actinopteri; Pomacentridae
Exons: 6
Source: RefSeq, a predicted model, not a curated record